GAUGAACGCUGGCGGCGUGCCUAAUACAUGCAAGUCGAGCGAACGGACGAGAAGCUUGCUUCUCUGAUGUUAGCGGCGGACGGGUGAGUAACACGUGGAUAACCUACCUAUAAGACUGGGAUAACUUCGGGAAACCGUAGCUAAUACCGGAUAAUAUUUUGAACUGCAUGGUUCAAAAGUGAAAGACGGUCUUGCUGUCACUUAUAGAUGGAUCCGCGCUGCAUUAGCUAGUUGGUAAGGUAACGGCUUACCAAGGCAACGAUGCAUAGCCGACCUGAGAGGGUGAUCGGCCACACUGGAACUGAGACACGGUCCAGACUCCUACGGGAGGCAGCAGUAGGGAAUCUUCCGCAAUGGGCGAAAGCCUGACGGAGCAACGACGCGUGAGUGAUGAAGGUCUUCGGAUCGUAAAACUCUGUUAUUAGGGAAGAACAUAUGUGUAAGUAACUGUGCACAUCUUGACGGUACCUAAUCAGAAAGCCACGGCUAACUACGUG
RNAcentral lists this ribosomal RNA (497 nucleotides) under uncultured bacterium. RNAcentral's name for it is "partial 16S ribosomal RNA". It matches the Rfam family "Bacterial small subunit ribosomal RNA", at positions 28 to 507 of the family's 1533-position model. The record is from RNAcentral.